AUUCCAGCUCCAAUAGCGUAUAUUAAAGUUGUUGCAGUUAAAAAGCUCGUAGUUGGAUUUCUGUUCUCGAGGAUCGGUCCGCCUCACGGUGAGCACUGGUUUUUCUUGGGGACAUCCUCUCGAAGGCGGGUGGUGCACUUAAUUGUGUGCUGCUUGGAUUCGGGACCUUUACUUUGAAAAAAUUAGAGUGUUCAAAGCAGGCGUCGGCUUGAAUACAUUAGCAUGGAAUAAUGGAAUAGGACUUUGGUUCUAUUUUGCUGGUUUCUAGGACCGAAGUAAUGAUUAAUAGGGACUGUUGGGGGCAUUAGUAUUUAAUUGUCAGAGGUGAAAUUCUUGGAUUUAUGAAAGACUAACUACUGCGAAAGCAUUUGCCAAGGAUGUUUUCAUCA
Molecule: ribosomal RNA, 389 nt
Filed under: Choanoflagellata sp.
Lineage: Eukaryota; Choanoflagellata
Description: partial small subunit ribosomal RNA
Rfam family: Eukaryotic small subunit ribosomal RNA
Source: RNAcentral